GGUUUCCUACGGGGGGCAGCAGUAGGGAAUCUUCGGCAAUGGACGAAAGUCUGACCGAGCAACGCCGCGUGAGUGAAGAAGGUUUUCGGAUCGUAAACUCUGUUGGUAGAGAAGAACGUUGGUGAGAGUGGAAAGCUCAUCAAGUGACGGUAACUACCCAGAAAGGGACGGCUAACUACGUGCCAGCAGCCGCGGGAAUACGUAGGUCCCGAGCGUUGUCCGGAUUUAUUGGGCGUAAAGCGAGCGCAGGGGGUUUAUUAAGUCUGGUGUGAAAGGCAUGGGCUCAACCAUUGUAUGCAUUGGAA
This 305-nucleotide ribosomal RNA is filed under the name uncultured bacterium. RNAcentral's name for it is "bacterial SSU rRNA". It matches the Rfam family "Bacterial small subunit ribosomal RNA", at positions 333 to 631 of the family's 1533-position model. The record is from RNAcentral.